This 253-nucleotide ribosomal RNA is filed under the name uncultured bacterium. Its description in RNAcentral is "partial 16S ribosomal RNA". It matches the Rfam family "Bacterial small subunit ribosomal RNA", at positions 524 to 776 of the family's 1533-position model. The record is from RNAcentral.
UACGAAGGGAGCUAGCGUUGUUCGGAAUCACUGGGCGUAAAGCGCACGUAGGCGGACUUGUCAGUCAGGGGUGAAAUCCCGGGGCUCAACCUCGGAACUGCCUCUGAUACAGCAAGUCUUGAGUCCGGAAGAGGUGGGUGGAAUUCCUAGUGUAGAGGUGAAAUUCGUAGAUAUUAGGAAGAACACCGGUGGCGAAGGCGGCCCACUGGAUCGGUACUGACGCUGAGGUGCGAAAACGUGGGGAGCAAACAGG